UAGGGAGUCUUCGGCAAUGGACGAAAGUCUGACCGAGCAACGCCGCGUGAGUGAAGAAGGUUUUCGGAUCGUAAAACUCUGUUGGUAGAGAAGAACGUUGGUGAGAGUGGAAAGCUCAUCAAGUGACGGUAACUACCCAGAAAGGGACGGCUAACUACGUGCCGG
RNAcentral lists this ribosomal RNA (165 nucleotides) under uncultured bacterium. RNAcentral's name for it is "partial 16S rRNA". It matches the Rfam family "Bacterial small subunit ribosomal RNA", at positions 355 to 511 of the family's 1533-position model. The record is from RNAcentral.